Molecule: non-coding RNA, 31 nt
Organism: Poecilia formosa (Amazon molly)
Lineage: Eukaryota; Metazoa; Chordata; Actinopteri; Cyprinodontiformes; Poeciliidae
Source: Rfam
UAAUUAUCGGGAGCAGUGCCUCCCAUAAUUA